GUGUUUGCUUCAGCAGCACAUAUACUAAAAUUGGAAUGAUACAGAGAAGAUUAGCAUGGCCCCUGUGCAAAGAUGAUACGCAAAUUUGUGGAGUAUUCCAUAUUUCU
RNAcentral lists this small nuclear RNA (107 nucleotides) under Vicugna pacos (alpaca). Lineage: Eukaryota; Metazoa; Chordata; Mammalia; Artiodactyla; Camelidae. The record is from RNAcentral.